This 490-nucleotide ribosomal RNA is filed under the name uncultured bacterium. RNAcentral describes it as "partial 16S ribosomal RNA". It matches the Rfam family "Bacterial small subunit ribosomal RNA", at positions 28 to 507 of the family's 1533-position model. The record is from RNAcentral.
GAUGAACGCUAGCUACAGGCUUAACACAUGCAAGUCGCGGGGCAGCAUGGGGGUUGCUUGCAAUCCCCGAUGGCGACCGGCGCACGGGUGAGUAACGCGUAUCCAACCUGCCCUUCACCACGGGAUAACCCGGCGAAAGUCGGACUAAUACCGUAUGUUGUCCAUUGACGGCAUCCGAUUUGGACGAAAGGCUUGGCGGUGAGGGAUGGGGAUGCGUCCGAUUAGCCAGACGGCGGGGUAACGGCCCACCGUGGCUACGAUCAGUAGGGGUUCUGAGAGGAAGGUCCCCCACACUGGAACUGAGACACGGUCCAGACUCCUACGGGAGGCAGCAGUGAGGAAUAUUGGUCAAUGGGCGUAAGCCUGAACCAGCCAAGUAGCGUGCAGGAUGACGGCCCUAUGGGUUGUAAACUGCUUUUAUGCGGGGAUAAAGUGGCCCACGUGUGGGCUUUUGCAGGUACCGCAUAAAUAAGGACCGGCUAAUUCCGUG